Molecule: transfer RNA, 68 nt
Filed under: Strongylogaster xanthocera
Lineage: Eukaryota; Metazoa; Arthropoda; Insecta; Hymenoptera; Tenthredinidae
Description: tRNA-Cys
Source: RNAcentral
AAUUUUAUAGUUAAAAUAAAUAACAUUAAAUUGCAAAUUUAAGAUUAUAAUUUAAAAAUUAUUAAGAU